Molecule: ribosomal RNA, 254 nt
Filed under: uncultured bacterium
Lineage: Bacteria
Description: partial 16S ribosomal RNA
Rfam family: Bacterial small subunit ribosomal RNA
Source: RNAcentral
UACGUAGGGUGCGAGCGUUGUCCGGAAUUAUUGGGCGUAAAGAGCUCGUAGGCGGUGUGUCGCGUCGGUCGUGAAAACUUUCAGCUUAACUGGGAGCUUGCGGUCGAUACGGGCAUCACUGGAGUUCGGCAGGGGAGACUGGAAUUCCUGGUGUAGCGGUGAAAUGCGCAGAUAUCAGGAGGAACACCGGUGGCGAAGGCGGGUCUCUGGGCCGAUACUGACGCUGAGGAGCGAAAGCGUGGGGAGCAAACAGG